AGAGUAUCCCACGAUGAUCUGCCACUUAAAAUAACUUUUGUUCUAUUUAAUAUUUUUGACCCUUCCCUUAAAAAAUAAAUAUUCAUAUAUAAAUUGUAGCGCAGAGGCAUGUUAAUUAUUUCAAAAACUAUUUAAUGAAUAGAACAAAGUUAUUUCAAGUGGCAGAUCAUCGCGGGAUACCCUGUAAUCUGU
Non-coding RNA from Cinara cedri, 192 nucleotides. The record is from the annotation of a GenBank genome assembly. Lineage: Eukaryota; Metazoa; Arthropoda; Insecta; Hemiptera; Aphididae.